Molecule: non-coding RNA, 99 nt
Organism: Acanthosepion pharaonis
Lineage: Eukaryota; Metazoa; Mollusca; Cephalopoda; Sepiida; Sepiidae
Source: the annotation of a GenBank genome assembly
GUUGAAAUACCAAUUCCCGUACGAUCACUGAAGUUAAGCAAAGUCGAACCUGGUCCCUACCAAGGUGGGUGACCACUUGGGAUUUCCAGGUGCUGUAAG